GUGGGUAUAGCUCAGUGGUAGAGUGUACACUUUACAUGCAUGAGGUCCUGGGUUUGAUCCCCAGGACCUCCA
RNAcentral lists this transfer RNA (72 nucleotides) under Camelus bactrianus (Bactrian camel). It matches the Rfam family "tRNA". Rfam says of the family: Transfer RNA (tRNA) molecules are approximately 80 nucleotides in length. Their secondary structure includes four short double-helical elements and three loops (D, anti-codon, and T loops). Further hydrogen bonds mediate the characteristic L-shaped molecular structure. tRNAs have two regions of fundamental functional importance: the anti-codon, which is responsible for specific mRNA codon recognition, and the 3' end, to which the tRNAs corresponding amino acid is attached (by aminoacyl-tRNA synthetases). tRNAs cope with the degeneracy of the genetic code in two manners: having more than one tRNA (with a specific anti-codon) for a particular amino acid; and 'wobble' base-pairing, i.e. permitting non-standard base-pairing at the 3rd anti-codon position. Lineage: Eukaryota; Metazoa; Chordata; Mammalia; Artiodactyla; Camelidae. The record is from Rfam by way of RNAcentral. RNAcentral also lists the same sequence under 2 other names.